AUACGGAGGGUGCAAGCGUUAUCCGGAAUCAUUGGGUUUAAAGGGUCCGUAGGCGGACUAUUAAGUCAGAGGUGAAAUCCCACAGCUCAACUGUGGAACUGCCUUUGAUACUGGUAGUCUUGAGUUAUAUGGAAGUAGAUAGAAUGUGUAGUGUAGCGGUGAAAUGCAUAGAUAUUACACAGAAUACCGAUUGCGAAGGCAGUCUACUACGUAUAUACUGACGCUAAGGGACGAAAGCGUGGGGAGCGAACAGGAGUAGAUACCCCAGUAGUCC
Molecule: ribosomal RNA, 274 nt
Filed under: uncultured bacterium
Lineage: Bacteria
Description: partial 16S ribosomal RNA
Rfam family: Bacterial small subunit ribosomal RNA
Source: RNAcentral